RNAcentral lists this ribosomal RNA (291 nucleotides) under uncultured bacterium. RNAcentral's name for it is "partial 16S ribosomal RNA". It matches the Rfam family "Bacterial small subunit ribosomal RNA", at positions 505 to 796 of the family's 1533-position model. The record is from RNAcentral.
GUGUCAGCCGCCGCGGUAAUACGUAGGGGGCAAGCGUUGUCCGGAAUUAUUGGGCGUAAAGCGCGCGCAGGCGGUCAUUUAAGUCUGGUGUAUAAACCAAGGGCUCAACCUUUGGACGCAUUGGAAACUGGGUGACUGGAGUGUAGGAGAGGAAAGUGGAAUUCCACGUGUAGCGGUGAAAUGCGUAGAGAUGUGGAGGAACACCAGUGGCGAAGGCGACUUUCUGGCCUAUAACUGACGCUGAGGCGCGAAAGCGUGGGGAGCAAACAGGAUUAGAUACCCCCGUAGUCC